This 220-nucleotide long non-coding RNA is filed under the name Elaeis guineensis (African oil palm). Its description in RNAcentral is "long non-coding RNA (EGUI_LNC047744)". Lineage: Eukaryota; Viridiplantae; Streptophyta; Magnoliopsida; Arecales; Arecaceae. The record is from RNAcentral.
UAUAUCAAUUCCAAUCUGAGUCGAACUGAAUCUAAUUCAAUUAGACUUAUUCCAAAACUCUUUACUCAAUCAAAUUAAGUUAAUUAGUAAUCUAAUUACUAAUUAAUUCUCCAUAAAUAGUAGAGUCUCAGUCCCAGUAGGACACUCCCACAGAGUCAGAGUCCUAGUCUAAGUAGAACUCUUCACCAGAGUCACAAUCCAAUUAGACUCUUCAGCCAUC